RNAcentral lists this transfer RNA (77 nucleotides) under Rhodothermus marinus. Its description in RNAcentral is "tRNA-Met". It matches the Rfam family "tRNA". Rfam says of the family: Transfer RNA (tRNA) molecules are approximately 80 nucleotides in length. Their secondary structure includes four short double-helical elements and three loops (D, anti-codon, and T loops). Further hydrogen bonds mediate the characteristic L-shaped molecular structure. tRNAs have two regions of fundamental functional importance: the anti-codon, which is responsible for specific mRNA codon recognition, and the 3' end, to which the tRNAs corresponding amino acid is attached (by aminoacyl-tRNA synthetases). tRNAs cope with the degeneracy of the genetic code in two manners: having more than one tRNA (with a specific anti-codon) for a particular amino acid; and 'wobble' base-pairing, i.e. permitting non-standard base-pairing at the 3rd anti-codon position. Lineage: Bacteria; Pseudomonadati; Rhodothermota; Rhodothermia; Rhodothermales; Rhodothermaceae. The record is from RNAcentral.
GGCGCGGUAGCUCAGUCGGUUAGAGCGUCGGAUUCAUAACCCGGAGGUCGAGGGUUCGACUCCCUCCCGCGCCACAA